This is a long non-coding RNA of Pseudopipra pipra, 429 nucleotides long. RefSeq lists it as uncharacterized. The record is from RefSeq and is a predicted model, not a curated record. Lineage: Eukaryota; Metazoa; Chordata; Aves; Passeriformes; Pipridae. The transcript has 3 exons.
UAUGCCAGAAAGACUCAUAGGUGGAAAUUCAUCAAUUCUGUGAUAAAUGAAGGCUAUGAUUCGUAUCAAUAAAAGAAACAAAUGGGAAUGAAGAGGUUAGUGUGACCUCAGGAGAGAAGGAAAAGGAUUAUAAAACUUAAUUGCCCCUCACAAAAACAUAAAACAAGUCACCUCCCCCUUAUCUUGUACAUGCGUUAUAGCUGAAUUGAGCUUAGCCAACAGGAUGUUAACACUUUCUUGUCAAGAAAUAUUGGAAUUUAUAACUUGUAUAGAUAACAGAUUAGUCUAGGAAAACAUAUGUUGAAUUCUUGGAAUAGCGAUGUAAAAUAUCCAGAACAGGUGUGUAAUGAAUAUGCAUGAGACAACUGGAAUAAAUAUCGAGUUAAUAUCUAUGUCGAGGCGGCAGGCCUAGGAGAGAGUCUGUCUCCU